This 494-nucleotide ribosomal RNA is filed under the name uncultured bacterium. RNAcentral describes it as "partial 16S ribosomal RNA". It matches the Rfam family "Bacterial small subunit ribosomal RNA", at positions 28 to 507 of the family's 1533-position model. The record is from RNAcentral.
GACGAACGCUGGCGGCGUGCUUAACACAUGCAAGUCGAACGGAAAGGCCUGCUUUCCCUUGUGGAUUGCGGGUGCUCGAGUGGCGAACGGGUGAGUAACACGUGAGUGAUCUGCCCCCAACUUGGGUAUAAGCCUGGGAAACUGGGUCUAAUUCCCGAUAGGACUGCAGGGUGGUGCCUGUGGUGGAAAACGAUUUUCUAGUGGUUGGGGAUGAGCUCGCGGCCUAUCAGCUUGUUGGUGGGGUAAUGGCCUACCAAGGCGGCGACGGGUAGCCGGCCUGAGAGGGUGGACGGCCACAUUGGGACUGAGAUACGGCCCAGACUCCUACGGGAGGCAGCAGUGGGGAAUAUUGCACAAUGGGCGGAAGCCUGAUGCAGCGACGCCGCGUGGGGGAUGACGGCCUUCGGGUUGUAAACUCCUUUCGACCGCGAGGAAGCCACCUGGUUGGAAGGGUGGCGACGGUAGUGGUAGAAGAAGCACCGGCUAACUACGUG